RNAcentral lists this ribosomal RNA (534 nucleotides) under Priestia aryabhattai. Its description in RNAcentral is "bacterial SSU rRNA". It matches the Rfam family "Bacterial small subunit ribosomal RNA", at positions 37 to 523 of the family's 1533-position model. Lineage: Bacteria; Bacillati; Bacillota; Bacilli; Caryophanales; Bacillaceae. The record is from RNAcentral.
GGGCGGACGCGUGCUAUACAUGCAAGUCGAGCGAACUGAUUAGAAGCUUGCUUCUAUGACGUUAGCGGCGGACGGGUGAGUAACACGUGGGCAACCUGCCUGUAAGACUGGGAUAACUUCGGGAAACCGAAGCUAAUACCGGAUAGGAUCUUCUCCUUCAUGGGAGAUGAUUGAAAGAUGGUUUCGGCUAUCACUUACAGAUGGGCCCGCGGUGCAUUAGCUAGUUGGUGAGGUAACGGCUCACCAAGGCAACGAUGCAUAGCCGACCUGAGAGGGUGAUCGGCCACACUGGGACUGAGACACGGCCCAGACUCCUACGGGAGGCAGCAGUAGGGAAUCUUCCGCAAUGGACGAAAGUCUGACGGAGCAACGCCGCGUGAGUGAUGAAGGCUUUCUGGUCGUAAAACUCUGUUGUUAGGGAAAAACAAGUACAAGAGUAACUGCUUCGUACCUUGUACGGGGACCCUAACCAAAAAAACCACGUUUUAACUACGUGUCCAGCAACUCGCCGCGAAAUAACAAUACAGGUGGGGA